This 460-nucleotide ribosomal RNA is filed under the name uncultured bacterium. RNAcentral describes it as "partial 16S ribosomal RNA". It matches the Rfam family "Bacterial small subunit ribosomal RNA", at positions 338 to 795 of the family's 1533-position model. The record is from RNAcentral.
CCUACGGGUGGCAGCAGUGAGGAAUAUUGGUCAAUGGACGAGAGUCUGAACCAGCCAAGUCGCGUGAGGGAGGACUGCACAGAGGGUUGUAAACUUCUUUUGUAUGGGAAUAAAACAGGGUAUGCAUACCCUCUUGUAUGUACCAUAUGAAUAAGCAUCGGCUAACUCCGUGCCAGCAGCCGCGGUAAUACGGAGGAUUCGAGCGUUAUCCGGAUUUAUUGGGUUUAAAGGGAGCGUAGGUGGAUUGUUAAGUCAGUGGGGAAAGUUUGCGGCUCAACCGUAAAAUUGCAGUUGAAACUGGCAGUCUCGAGUACAGGAGAGGUGGGCGGAAUUCGCGGUGUAGCGGUGAAAUGCUUAGAUAUCACGAAGAACUCCGAUUGCGAAGGCAGCUUACUGGCCUGAAACUGACACUGAUGCUCGAAAGUGUGGGUAUCAAACAGGAUUAGAUACCCCUGUAGUC